UACGUAGGGUCCGAGCGUUGUCCGGAAUUAUUGGGCGUAAAGAGCUCGUAGGCGGUUUGUCGCGUCUGCUGUGAAAUCCCGAGGCUCAACCUCGGGCCUGCAGUGGGUACGGGCAGACUGGAGUGCGGUAGGGGAGAAUGGAAUUCCUGGUGUAGCGGUGGAAUGCGCAGAUAUCAGGAGGAACACCGAUGGCGAAGGCAGUUCUCUGGGCCGUAACUGACGCUGAGGAGCGAAAACGUGGGGAGCGAACAGG
RNAcentral lists this ribosomal RNA (253 nucleotides) under uncultured bacterium. RNAcentral's name for it is "partial 16S ribosomal RNA". It matches the Rfam family "Bacterial small subunit ribosomal RNA", at positions 524 to 776 of the family's 1533-position model. The record is from RNAcentral.